RNAcentral lists this ribosomal RNA (2863 nucleotides) under Escherichia coli. RNAcentral describes it as "23S ribosomal RNA". It matches the Rfam family "Bacterial large subunit ribosomal RNA". Lineage: Bacteria; Pseudomonadati; Pseudomonadota; Gammaproteobacteria; Enterobacterales; Enterobacteriaceae. The record is from RNAcentral.
GGUUAAGCGACUAAGCGUACACGGUGGAUGCCCUGGCAGUCAGAGGCGAUGAAGGACGUGCUAAUCUGCGAUAAGCGUCGGUAAGGUGAUAUGAACCGUUAUAACCGGCGAUUUCCGAAUGGGGAAACCCAGUGUGAUUCGUCACACUAUCAUUAACUGAAUCCAUAGGUUAAUGAGGCGAACCGGGGGAACUGAAACAUCUAAGUACCCCGAGGAAAAGAAAUCAACCGAGAUUCCCCCAGUAGCGGCGAGCGAACGGGGAGCAGCCCAGAGCCUGAAUCAGUGUGUGUGUUAGUGGAAGCGUCUGGAAAGGCGCGCGAUACAGGGUGACAGCCCCGUACACAAAAAUGCACAUGCUGUGAGCUCGAUGAGUAGGGCGGGACACGUGGUAUCCUGUCUGAAUAUGGGGGGACCAUCCUCCAAGGCUAAAUACUCCUGACUGACCGAUAGUGAACCAGUACCGUGAGGGAAAGGCGAAAAGAACCCCGGCGAGGGGAGUGAAAAAGAACCUGAAACCGUGUACGUACAAGCAGUGGGAGCACAGAGCAAUCUGUGUGACUGCGUACCUUUUGUAUAAUGGGUCAGCGACUUAUAUUCUGUAGCAAGGUUAACCGAAUAGGGGAGCCGAAGGGAAACCGAGUCUUAACUGGGCGUUAAGUUGCAGGGUAUAGACCCGAAACCCGGUGAUCUAGCCAUGGGCAGGUUGAAGGUUGGGUAACACUAACUGGAGGACCGAACCGACUAAUGUUGAAAAAUUAGCGGAUGACUUGUGGCUGGGGGUGAAAGGCCAAUCAAACCGGGAGAUAGCUGGUUCUCCCCGAAAGCUAUUUAGGUAGCGCCUCGUGAAUUCAUCUCCGGGGGUAGAGCACUGUUUCGGCAAGGGGGUCAUCCCGACUUACCAACCCGAUGCAAACUGCGAAUACCGGAGAAUGUUAUCACGGGAGACACACGGCGGGUGCUAACGUCCGUCGUGAAGAGGGAAACAACCCAGACCGCCAGCUAAGGUCCCAAAGUCAUGGUUAAGUGGGAAACGAUGUGGGAAGGCCCAGACAGCCAGGAUGUUGGCUUAGAAGCAGCCAUCAUUUAAAGAAAGCGUAAUAGCUCACUGGUCGAGUCGGCCUGCGCGGAAGAUGUAACGGGGCUAAACCAUGCACCGAAGCUGCGGCAGCGACACUGUGUGUUGUUGGGUAGGGGAGCGUUCUGUAAGCCUGUGAAGGUGUGCUGUGAGGCAUGCUGGAGGUAUCAGAAGUGCGAAUGCUGACAUAAGUAACGAUAAAGCGGGUGAAAAGCCCGCUCGCCGGAAGACCAAGGGUUCCUGUCCAACGUUAAUCGGGGCAGGGUGAGUCGACCCCUAAGGCGAGGCCGAAAGGCGUAGUCGAUGGGAAACAGGUUAAUAUUCCUGUACUUGGUGUUACUGCGAAGGGGGGACGGAGAAGGCUAUGUUGGCCGGGCGACGGUUGUCCCGGUUUAAGCGUGUAGGCUGGUUUUCCAGGCAAAUCCGGAAAAUCAAGGCUGAGGCGUGAUGACGAGGCACUACGGUGCUGAAGCAACAAAUGCCCUGCUUCCAGGAAAAGCCUCUAAGCAUCAGGUAACAUCNNNNNNNNNNNNNNNNNNNNNNNNNNNNNNNNNNNNNNNNNNNNNNNNNNNNNNNNNNNNNNNNNNNNNNNNNNNNNNNNNNNNNNNNNNNNNNNNNAUGGAGCUGAAAUCAGUCGAAGAUACCAGCUGGCUGCAACUGUUUAUUAAAAACACAGCACUGUGCAAACACGAAAGUGGACGUAUACGGUGUGACGCCUGCCCGGUGCCGGAAGGUUAAUUGAUGGGGUCAGCGCAAGCGAAGCUCUUGAUCGAAGCCCCGGUAAACGGCGGCCGUAACUAUAACGGUCCUAAGGUAGCGAAAUUCCUUGUCGGGUAAGUUCCGACCUGCACGAAUGGCGUAAUGAUGGCCAGGCUGUCUCCACCCGAGACUCAGUGAAAUUGAACUCGCUGUGAAGAUGCAGUGUACCCGCGGCAAGACGGAAAGACCCCGUGAACCUUUACUAUAGCUUGACACUGAACAUUGAGCCUUGAUGUGUAGGAUAGGUGGGAGGCUUUGAAGUGUGGACGCCAGUCUGCAUGGAGCCGACCUUGAAAUACCACCCUUUAAUGUUUGAUGUUCUAACGUUGACCCGUGAUCCGGGUUGCGGACAGUGUCUGGUGGGUAGUUUGACUGGGGCGGUCUCCUCCUAAAGAGUAACGGAGGAGCACGAAGGUUGGCUAAUCCUGGUCGGACAUCAGGAGGUUAGUGCAAUGGCAUAAGCCAGCUUGACUGCGAGCGUGACGGCGCGAGCAGGUGCGAAAGCAGGUCAUAGUGAUCCGGUGGUUCUGAAUGGAAGGGCCAUCGCUCAACGGAUAAAAGGUACUCCGGGGAUAACAGGCUGAUACCGCCCAAGAGUUCAUAUCGACGGCGGUGUUUGGCACCUCGAUGUCGGCUCAUCACAUCCUGGGGCUGAAGUAGGUCCCAAGGGUAUGGCUGUUCGCCAUUUAAAGUGGUACGCGAGCUGGGUUUAGAACGUCGUGAGACAGUUCGGUCCCUAUCUGCCGUGGGCGCUGGAGAACUGAGGGGGGCUGCUCCUAGUACGAGAGGACCGGAGUGGACGCAUCACUGGUGUUCGGGUUGUCAUGCCAAUGGCACUGCCCGGUAGCUAAAUGCGGAAGAGAUAAGUGCUGAAAGCAUCUAAGCACGAAACUUGCCCCGAGAUGAGUUCUCCCUGACCCUUUAAGGGUCCUGAAGGAACGUUGAAGACGACGACGUUGAUAGGCCGGGUGUGUAAGCGCAGCGAUGCGUUGAGCUAACCGGUACUAAUGAACCGUGAGGCUUAACCUU